AACGAACGCUGGCGGCAGGCCUAACACAUGCAAGUCGAGCGCUCACUUCGGUGGGAGCGGCGGACGGGUUAGUAACGCGUGGGAAUAUGCCCGGUACUAAGGAAUAGCCUUUGGAAACGAAGAGUAAUACCUUAUACGCCCUUCGGGGGAAAGAUUUAUCGGUAUCGGAUUAGCCCGCGUAAGAUUAGAUAGUUGGUGGGGUAAUGGCCUACCAAGUCUACGAUCUUUAGCUGGUUUUAGAGGAUGAUCAGCAACACUGGGACUGAGACACGGCCCAGACUCCUACGGGAGGCAGCAGUGGGGAAUCUUAGACAAUGGGCGCAAGCCUGAUCUAGCCAUGCCGCGUGAGUGAAGAAGGCCUUAGGGUCGUAAAGCUCUUUCGCCAGGGAUGAUAAUGACAGUACCUGGUAAAGAAACCCCGGCUAACUCCGUGCCAGCAGCCGCGGUAAUACGGAGGGGGUUAGCGUUGUUCGGAAUUACUGGGCGUAAAGCGCACGUAGGCGGAUUAGAAAGUUAGAGGUGAAAUCCCAGGGCUCAACCCUGGAACUGCCUUUAAAACUCCUAGUCUUGAGUUCGAGAGAGGUGAGUGGAAUUCCAAGUGUAGAGGUGAAAUUCGUAGAUAUUUGGAGGAACACCAGUGGCGAAGGCGGCUCACUGGCUCGAUACUGACGCUGAGGUGCGAAAGUGUGGGGAGCAAACAGGAUUAGAUACCCUGGUAGUCCACACCGUAAACGAUGAAUGCCAGUCGUCGGCAAGUAUACUUGUCGGUGACACACCUAACGGAUUAAGCAUUCCGCCUGGGGAGUACGGUCGCAAGAUUA
Molecule: ribosomal RNA, 821 nt
Filed under: uncultured marine bacterium
Lineage: Bacteria
Description: bacterial SSU rRNA
Rfam family: Bacterial small subunit ribosomal RNA
Source: RNAcentral